CUGGUGCCUAGUUCUCCUGCAGAACUUUCCCAUGCCACGAUACUGAAAACAAAAUGCACGGCGAACUGGGAGCUGUGAACUGGGUAUAUAGUCUGUGUGUAAUGCUGAAGGCUUGAUGCAUGGAAAGAUAUAAUAGGAAGCAGAUGUUCUUCUAAGGGACACCCUGGAGGCAGCAAGGUGGUGUGAACUGCAAACAUUUAAAGGCACUGUUUCCCUCCAUAGUGUAAUUGGGAUGGACGGGGAAGGCCGCAUUACAACACUUAAAGAAGUACGUUUGUAUGAUGGCCUGGAUGAAGAGGAACAUAUUAUCCUCUAGGAACCAUUCAUGUUCCAGUUACAGAGAGAUGAUUAGAUGUUCUAUGUGGAGGCAGUUGAUGUUCUAUGUGGAGGCAGUUGACAACAAGAAAAAUACUGUCUUUGCCUCUUUUGAGGAGCAGGAGUGAAGCCAUUUUUGAGGAGUGGUCAAACCUUGUUUUUGUCUGCUUUGUUAAUUGUGUUUAUGUUGUUUAGUAAAGAUGACUUAGAAGUCACCCGAGUCUCUGA
Molecule: long non-coding RNA, 543 nt
Organism: Oncorhynchus keta (chum salmon)
Lineage: Eukaryota; Metazoa; Chordata; Actinopteri; Salmoniformes; Salmonidae
Exons: 3
Source: RefSeq, a predicted model, not a curated record